Molecule: long non-coding RNA, 200 nt
Organism: Trachymyrmex septentrionalis
Lineage: Eukaryota; Metazoa; Arthropoda; Insecta; Hymenoptera; Formicidae
Exons: 3
Source: RefSeq, a predicted model, not a curated record
AGACAUAUAUUAUGUCAAAUUGUGUCAUAUCCAUGCGGUAUCUAAUCCUGCUGUGUCUAAUUGAAUGUGUUCAUUCAAAUGUUGCAUGUCUAAUCGAGCGGUAUCCUAUCAUAACGUAUGCAAUUGUUAAGCCUUCAAAAGCUGCCCAUCAUCUUUGAGUAAAUUACCAAGAUUGUUCAUAGCUUGAGCAUAAUUUGGAU